GUAAGCAAGCGGUAGGGGAGCGUCGUAAUCGGGCUGAAGUCGUACCGUAAGGAGCGGUGGACUGAUUACGAGUGAGAAUGUUGGCAUUAGUAGCGAGAUGUAGGUGAGAAUCCUACAGGCCGAAUAUCUAAGGUUUCCUCAGGAAGGCUCGUCCGCUGAGGGUUAGUCGGGACCUAAGCCGAGGCCGAAAGGCGUAGGCGAUGGACAACAGGUUGAUAUUCCUGUACCACUACCAUCGUUAUUAUCGAGGGUGUGACGGAGAAGGAUAGUGUGUGCUAGCGAUUGGAAAUGCUAGUCUAAGCGUUUAGGCAGUUACGGUAGGCAAAUCCGCUGUAACGUUAAUGCUGAGGCGUGAUGGGGAAGGCCCUUGAGGCUGAAGUACAUGAUUCCAUGCUUCCAAGAAAAGCAUCUAGAGAGAGAAGUAGUGCCCGUACCGCAAACCGACACAGGUAGAUGAGGAGAGAAUCCUAAGGCCGGCGGAAGAAUUGCAGUUAAGGAACUAGGCAAAUUGACCCCGUAAGUUAGCGAGAAGGGGUGCCUGCGAGAGCAGGCCGCAGAGAAUAGGCCCAAGCAACUGUUUAGCAAAAACACAGGUCUCUGCUAAAGCGCAAGCUGAUGUAUAGGGGCUGACGCCUGCCCGGUGCUGGAAGGUUAAGGGGAACACUUAGCGCAAGCGAAGGUGUGAACUUAAGCCCCAGUAAACGGCGGCCGUAACUAUAACGGUCCUAAGGUAGCGAAAUUCCUUGUCAGGUAAGUUCUGACCCGCACGAAUGGCGUAAUGACUUGGGCACUGUCUCAACUGCAAAUCCGGCGAAGUUGUAGUGCGAGUGAAGAUGCUCGCUACCCGCGAUUGGACGGAAAGACCCCGUAGAGCUUUACUGUAGCUUAGCAUUGAAUUCUGGUAUUGUCUGUACAGGAUAGGUGGGAGACUGGGAAACUAGGGCGUCAGCCUUAGUGGAGUCGUCCUUGGGAUACCACCCUGACAGUACUGGGGUUCUAACAGGACGCCAUGAAUCUGGUGACUGGACAUUGUUAGGUGGGCAGUUUGACUGGGGCGGUCGCCUCCUAAAAAGUAACGGAGGCGUUCAAAGGUUCGCUCAGCUUGAACGGAAAUCAAGCAAAAGAG
RNAcentral lists this ribosomal RNA (1126 nucleotides) under human metagenome. RNAcentral's name for it is "bacterial LSU rRNA". It matches the Rfam family "Bacterial large subunit ribosomal RNA", at positions 1217 to 2349 of the family's 2925-position model. The record is from RNAcentral.